CUUACCAAGGCUGCGAUGGGUAACCGGCCUGAGAGGGUGAACGGUCACACUGGAACUGAGACACGGUCCAGACUCCUACGGGAGGCAGCAGUGGGGAAUAUUGCACAAUGGAGGAAACUCUGAUGCAGCGACGCCGCGUGAGUGAUGAAGGCUUUCGAGUCGUAAAACUCUGUCCUUGGGGACGAUAAUGACGGUACCCAAGGAGGAAGCCCCGGCUAACUAC
Molecule: ribosomal RNA, 223 nt
Filed under: uncultured bacterium
Lineage: Bacteria
Description: partial 16S ribosomal RNA
Rfam family: Bacterial small subunit ribosomal RNA
Source: RNAcentral